RNAcentral lists this ribosomal RNA (484 nucleotides) under uncultured bacterium. RNAcentral describes it as "partial 16S ribosomal RNA". It matches the Rfam family "Bacterial small subunit ribosomal RNA", at positions 30 to 507 of the family's 1533-position model. The record is from RNAcentral.
AUUGAACGCUGGCGGCAGGCCUAACACAUGCAAGUCGAGCGGAUGAAGGGAGCUUGCUCCUGGAUUCAGCGGCGGACGGGUGAGUAAUGCCUAGGAAUCUGCCUGGUAGCGGGGGAUAACGUCCGGAAACGGGCGCUAAUACCGCAUACGUCCUGAGGGAGAAAGUGGGGGAUCUUCGGACCUCACGCUAUCAGAUGAGCCUAGGUCGGAUUAGCUAGUUGGUGGGGUAAAGGCCUACCAAGGCGACGAUCCGUAACUGGUCUGAGAGGAUGAUCAGUCACACUGGAAGUGAGACACGGUCCAGACUCCUACGGGAGGCAGCAGUGGGGAAUAUUGGGCAAUGGGCGAAAGCCUGAUCCAGCCAUGCCGCGUGUGUGAAGAAGGUCUUCGGAUUGGAAAGCACUUUAAGUUGGGAGGAAGGGCAGUAAGUUAAUACCUUGCUGUAUUGACGUUACCAACAGAAUAAGCACCGGCUAACUUCGUG